Rhipicephalus sanguineus (brown dog tick) is the source of this 1554-nucleotide long non-coding RNA. RefSeq lists it as uncharacterized. Lineage: Eukaryota; Metazoa; Arthropoda; Arachnida; Ixodida; Ixodidae. The record is from RefSeq and is a predicted model, not a curated record. The transcript has 4 exons.
UAGAAUUACAAGACGUUGUGAACAAUUCCACGCGCUGCAAUGAACCAUGGGAUUUUGCUGAGAAAGCAUGGUGUCCCAGCAUCCAGAUCCAACGGCGCUCAUGUUAUUGAGAAGAUUGUGGAGAUACAGCUGCGAAGAACCACUUAAUGAACCAGUGGGCGAUUGCACCGCAACCAUCAACAAGUAUUUUUCAACCAUACUGCGAAAAUGUGCCAAAAAUUUUACUGGAACGGCUGCUUGACCAGAGGAGUUUACGAAACCCGCUACGCAUGCGCACUCAAUUGCCACGAAGGUGAAAGCGCCGCCUACUGCGCAUUGCCGCAUCCUGACGAAUGCGUCGAACCGAAGGCUCAGCGCUGGGGACGCCAUCACUACGCAAUUGAUGUGUUUUAUUAUGACAUUGAAGAUAGGAAAUGCAAGCCAUUCAAGUACUGUGGGGAACCACAACCACCAGAAUCCAAUAUGUUCACAAGCAUGUCAAUGUGCAUCAUGGAAUGCGAAGGAUUUCCAUUCAGCAAAGCUGAAUAGCACCUGCAGUACACAUAUUCAGCAACAACCCUAAAGAAUUUCAGCUGUGAAACCACGCACCAUGUAUUAUAUAUGCAUAGCGGGUGUACUGAAAAACUGCUCUUGUGGCGCAGCACAGUGAACAUUCUGACACCUCUGCAUCUUUUGGACAUUGUGGACGACGACGUGUCUUCUGUAUUGGACACAGACCACACCACGCCUUUUAAGCAAACGAUUACACGACACUCGGCUGGUCACAUCAAUCACAAAAGCUACCAGAAAGAAGUCAUUUUUCACCUACCCAAGUUUUUUGUGUUCCCCUAUAUUUCUCUCUUUCUUUACUCUUCCUUCCAUCUUCCCCAUCACUUCCCCCUGUGCAGGGUAGCAUACCGGUUAUGCCAAACUGGUUAACAUGCCUGUCUCAUCUCUCUCGUUUUCUUCUUCAAAAGGCACCAUGGGAAAGACAUUGUGACAACUGCGCACUACGGGUGCGGAGACUGAGGAAACAGUGGAUCUGUUGGCGUUCCCCUCCUCCUUUCUCUCCUCCUCACUCCCACUUCCCUCUCCCACCCCUUGCUAUACUGUAGUAUACAAAGCUUAAAAGAAUAGACUGCUGGGCGACCUGGUAAUUCAUGAUGAAUGAGAAUAGCGCGAAAAAGUGCGCUGUUAGUAUGCGCUUGUGCUGUAGCCUUCUUCGUCUUGUCUUACGUUUUUUCGCUAUAUUUUCAUUCAUAUUCAAAGCUAUGGUUUGCUUCACUCUUUCCCUUUCUCCUUCAAACCCUCUCUUCUCUUUCCCACUCCCUUGCAUAGUAUCUCUUGGCGACACGCAUUAUGAUCGAGGAGUUUAUAAAUGCGGAGUUUAUAAGUGCUGUUAUGAGACGCCUUUCCACUUAGCAUUAACUAAAGGAGAUGUGGAACGUAGACUUGUAAAAAUUUGUAGCUUUUUCGUCGAGUUUAGUUUCAGUAGUACCAGUGUUAUUUCAUGCCUUGAUUCAUGCCUUAAUUUGUACUACUUUACAUUACCAUGUUUUCUUUGUAUGCGGACUU